CGAAGACCCCAUGGAGUUUCACUGCAACCUGUUGUUGUUGUAAGAAUUGGCACGUGUAGGGUAGGCGGGAGACGUUACCCAGGAAGGUGCGCUAGCAUCUCUCCGAGUCUACGAUGAAACACCGCCCCUGCUGAUUUUUACGACUCACCUCUUAGGAGGAACAGCUAUAGGCAGGCAGUUCGGGUGGGGCGCCACGCCCUCAAAAAGAUAACAAGGGCGCCCAAUGGUUAGCUCAGGUAGGUCAGAAAUCUACCGAAGAAUGUAAAGGUAAAAGCUAGCUUGACUCGGAACCAGACAAUAGGGUUCGGAGAUAGGAAACUAUGGCUUAGCGAACCAAUCAACCUCCUGAAUGGGGGUGAUUGAUGUCAGAAAAAUUACCCUGGGGAUAAUUGAGUUGUCACGAGCAAGAGUUCAUAUCGACCUCGUGGCUUGCUACUUCGCUGUCGGCUCUCCCUAUCCUGGUGGUGCAGCAGCUGCCAAGGGUGGGGUUGUUCGCCCAUUAAAAGGGAUCGUGAGCUGGGUUUAAAACGUCGCGAGACAGUUUUGUUGCUUUUUGAUGGAGGUGUAGGUGCCUGACGAGAAGGAUCCUUUAGUACGAGAGGAACAGGGAUUCGUCGCCUCUAGUUUAUCAGUUGUCUGACAAGGCAUGCUGAGUAGCCACGCGAUAGCGGAUAAGAGCUGAAUGCAUCUAAGCUCGAAGCCGCCUUGAAAAAGAGGCACCCAUAGAACGCUCAUAAAUGAUGAGUUUGAUAGAAGCCGGAUGUAAGUACCGAGGGUUUCCGAGGUAUUCAGUCCUGGCUUACUAACGUUCUUCGACGCCGCU
Molecule: ribosomal RNA, 823 nt
Filed under: Methanomassiliicoccaceae archaeon UBA296
Lineage: Archaea; Methanobacteriati; Thermoplasmatota; Thermoplasmata; Methanomassiliicoccales; Methanomassiliicoccaceae
Description: bacterial LSU rRNA
Rfam family: Archaeal large subunit ribosomal RNA
Source: RNAcentral